AUGAGGGUUUAACUGUCUCUUAUAAUAAGUCUAUUAAACUGAUCUCCUAGUAAAAAAGCUAGAAUAUCCCCAUAAGACCAGAAGACCCUGUGAAGCUUAAACUAUACUAUUAAACCCAAUAAUAACUACUUUCGGUUGGGGCGACCUUGGAAACAAAAACAACUUCCAAUAUACGUGAUACACCACACCCACUAGGCCUACAAGCCAAUUAAUGACCCAGUACUACUGAUAAUAGAACAAAGUUACUCCAGGGAUAACAGCGCUAUCUUCUUCAAGAGCCCAUAUCAAAAAGAAGGUUUACCACCUCGAUGUUGGAUCAGGACAUCCUAAUGGUGCAGCCGCUAUUAAAGGUUCGUUUGUUCAACGAUUAAUGUCCUACGUGAUCUGAGUUCAGACCGGAGA
RNAcentral lists this ribosomal RNA (402 nucleotides) under Nerodia fasciata. RNAcentral's name for it is "partial 16S ribosomal RNA". It matches the Rfam family "Bacterial large subunit ribosomal RNA", at positions 2004 to 2622 of the family's 2925-position model. Lineage: Eukaryota; Metazoa; Chordata; Lepidosauria; Squamata; Natricidae. The record is from RNAcentral.